GCCAGACUCCUACGGGAGGCAGCAGUGGGGGAUAUUGCACAAUGGGGGGAACCCUGAUGCAGCGACGCCGCGUGGGUGAAGGAGUAUUUCGGUAUGUAAAGCCCUAUCGGCAGGGAAGAAGCAAGACGGUACCUGACUAAGAAGCCCCGGCUAACUACGUGCCAGCAGCCGCGGUAAUACGUAGGGGGCGAGCGUUAUCCGGAUUCACUGGGUGUAAAGGGAGCGUAGACGGCCAUGCAAGCCAGGGGUGAAAGCCCGGGGCCCAACCCCGGGACUGCCCUUGGAACUGUGCGGCUAGAGUGCGGGAGGGGCAGGCGGAAUUCCUGGUGUAGCGGUGAAAUGCGUAGAUAUCAGGAGGAACACCGGUGGCGAAGGCGGCCUGCUGGACUGCAACUGACGUUGAGGCCCGAAAGCGUGGGGAGCAAACAGGAUUAGAUACCCCAGUAC
This 447-nucleotide ribosomal RNA is filed under the name uncultured bacterium. Its description in RNAcentral is "bacterial SSU rRNA". It matches the Rfam family "Bacterial small subunit ribosomal RNA", at positions 330 to 793 of the family's 1533-position model. The record is from RNAcentral.